Molecule: ribosomal RNA, 467 nt
Filed under: uncultured bacterium
Lineage: Bacteria
Description: partial 16S ribosomal RNA
Rfam family: Bacterial small subunit ribosomal RNA
Source: RNAcentral
ACGAAUGCUGGCGGCGUGCUUAACACAUGCAAGUCGAACGGAAAGGCCCUGCUUUUGUGGGGUGCUCGAGUGGCGAACGGGUGAGUAACACGUGAGUAACCUGCCCUUGACUUUGGGAUAACUUCAGGAAACUGGGGCUAAUACCGGAUAGGAGCUCCUACUGCAUGGUGGGGGUUGGAAAGUUUCGGCGGUUGGGGAUGGACUCGCGGCUUAUCAGCUUGUUGGUGGGGUAGUGGCUUACCAAGGCUUUGACGGGUAGCCGGCCUGAGAGGGUGACCGGCCACAUUGGGACUGAGAUACGGCCCAGACUCCUACGGGAGGCAGCAGUGGGGAAUAUUGCACAAUGGGCGGAAGCCUGAUGCAGCAACGCCGCGUGCGGGAUGACGGCCUUCGGGUUGUAAACCGCUUUCGCCUGUGACGAAGCGUGAGUGACGGUAAUGGGUAAAGAAGCACCGGCUAACUACGUG